GAAAGUCUGACCGAGCAACGCCGCGUGAGUGAAGAAGGUUUUCGGAUCGUAAAACUCUGUUGUUAGAGAAGAACGUUGUGUAGAGUGGAAAAUUACACAAGUGACGGUAUCUAACCAGAAAGGGACGGCUAACUACGUGCCAGCAGCCGCGGUAAUACGUAGGUCCCGAGCGUUGUCCGGAUUUAUUGGGCGUAAAGCGAGCGCAGGUGGUUUAAUAAGUCUGAUGUAAAAGGCAGUGGCUCAACCAUUGUGUGCAUUGGAAACUGUUAGACUUGAGUGCAGUAGAGGAGAGUGGAAUUCCAUGUGUAGCGGUGAAAUGCGUAGAUAUAUGGAGGAACACCGGUGGCGAAAGCGGCUCUCUGGACUGUAACUGACACUGAGGCUCGAAAGCGUGGGUAGCAAACAGGAUUAGAUACCCUGGUAGUCCACGCCGUAAACGAUGAGUGCUAGUUGUUUGGGGCUAUCCAGCCCUAAGUGACGCAGCAAACGCAUUAAGCACUCCGCCUGGGGAGUACGACCGCAAGGUUGAAACUCAAAGGAAUUGACGGGGCCCCCC
Molecule: ribosomal RNA, 556 nt
Filed under: Lactococcus sp.
Lineage: Bacteria; Bacillati; Bacillota; Bacilli; Lactobacillales; Streptococcaceae
Description: bacterial SSU rRNA
Rfam family: Bacterial small subunit ribosomal RNA
Source: RNAcentral